AUGGUUGUCGUCAGCUCGUGUCGUGAGAUGUUGGGUUAAGUCCCGCAACGAGCGCAACCCCUAUCCCCAGUAGCCAGCAGUAAGAUGGGCACUCUGUGGAGACUGCCAGGGAGAACCUGGAGGAAGGCGGGGAUGACGUCAAAUCAUCAUGCCCCUUAUGAUUUGGGCUACACACGUGCUACAAUGGCGUAAACAGAGGGAGGCGAAGGAGCGAUCCGGAGCAAACCCCAGAAAUAACGUCCCAGUUCGGAUUGCAGGCUGCAACCCGCCUGCAUGAAGCUGGAAUCGCUAGUAAUCGCGGAUCAGAAUGCCGCGGUGAAUACGUUCCCGGGUCUUGUACACACCGCCCGUCACACCAUGGGAGUCGGUAACGCCCGAAGUCAGUGACCCAACCGAGAGGAGGGAGCUGCCGAAGGCGGGACUGGUAACUGGGGUGAAGUCGUAACAAGGUAGCCGUAUCGGAAGGUGCGGUUGGAUCACCUC
This 483-nucleotide ribosomal RNA is filed under the name uncultured bacterium. RNAcentral describes it as "bacterial SSU rRNA". It matches the Rfam family "Bacterial small subunit ribosomal RNA", at positions 1045 to 1529 of the family's 1533-position model. The record is from RNAcentral.